RNAcentral lists this ribosomal RNA (463 nucleotides) under uncultured bacterium. RNAcentral describes it as "partial 16S ribosomal RNA". It matches the Rfam family "Bacterial small subunit ribosomal RNA", at positions 28 to 507 of the family's 1533-position model. The record is from RNAcentral.
GAUGAACGCUGACAGAAUGCUUAACACAUGCAAGUCGAUGGGGAAGUGGUGCUUGCACCAUGGUAACCAUGGCGGACGGGUGAGUAACGCGUAAGGAACUUGCCUGCGGGACUGGGAUAACAGCAGGAAACUGCUGAUAAUACCGGAUAAGGUCAUUAAGCUGCAUAGCUUAGUGAUGAAAGGAGACGCCUGCGGAGAGCCUUGCGUCCUAUUAGCUAGUUGGAGGGGUAACGGCCCACCAAGACGAAGAUAGGUAGCCGGCCUGAGAGGGUGGACGGCCACAAGGGGACUGAGAUACGGCCCUUACUCCUACGGGAGGAAGCAGUGGGGAAUAUUGGACAAUGGGGGCAACCCUGAUCCAGCAAUUCUGUGUGCACGAAGACGGUUUUCGGAUUGUAAAGUGCUUUCAGCAGGGAAGAAGGAAGUGACGGUACCUGAAGAAGAAGCGACGGCUAAAUACGUG